GCUCCCGGAUGUUAGCGGCGGACGGGUGAGUAACACGUGGGUAACCUGCCUGUAAGACUGGGAUAACUCCGGGAAACCGGAGCUAAUACCGGAUAGUUCCUUGAACCGCAUGGUUCAAGGAUGAAAGACGGUUUCGGCUGUCACUUACAGAUGGACCCGCGGCGCAUUAGCUAGUUGGUGAGGUAACGGCUCACCAAGGCGACGAUGCGUAGCCGACCUGAGAGGGUGAUCGGCCACACUGGGACUGAGACACGGCCCAGACUCCUACGGGAGGCAGCAGUAGGGAAUCUUCCGCAAUGGACGAAAGUCUGACGGAGCAACGCCGCGUGAGUGAUGAAGGUUUUCGGAUCGUAAAGCUCUGUUGUUAGGGAAGAACAAGUGCAAGAGUAACUGCUUGCACCUUGACGGUACCUAACCAGAAAGCCACGGCUAACUACGUGCCAGCAGCCGCGGUAAUACGUAGGUGGCAAGCGUUGUCCGGAAUUAUUGGGCGUAAAGGGCUCGCAGGCGGUUUCUUAAGUCUGAUGUGAAAGCCCCCGGCUCAACCGGGGAGGGUCAUUGGAAACUGGGAAACUUGAGUGCAGAAGAGGAGAGUGGAAUUCCACGUGUAGCGGUGAAAUGCGUAGAGAUGUGGAGGAACACCAGUGGCGAAGGCGACUCUCUGGUCUGUAACUGACGCUGAGGAGCGAAAGCGUGGGGAGCGAACAGGAUUAGAUACCCUGGUAGUCCACGCCGUAAACGAUGAGUGCUAAGUGUUAGGGGGUUUCCGCCCCUUAGUGCUGCAGCUAACGCAUAAGC
RNAcentral lists this ribosomal RNA (798 nucleotides) under bacterium. RNAcentral's name for it is "bacterial SSU rRNA". It matches the Rfam family "Bacterial small subunit ribosomal RNA", at positions 81 to 865 of the family's 1533-position model. The record is from RNAcentral.